This 247-nucleotide ribosomal RNA is filed under the name uncultured bacterium. RNAcentral's name for it is "partial 16S ribosomal RNA". It matches the Rfam family "Bacterial small subunit ribosomal RNA", at positions 524 to 768 of the family's 1533-position model. The record is from RNAcentral.
UACGGGGGGGCAAGCGUUGUUCGGAAUUACUGGGCGUAAAGGGCUCGUAGGCGGCCAACUAAGUCAGACGUGAAAUCCCUCGGCUUAACCGGGGAACUGCGUCUGAUACUGGAUGGCUUGAGUUUGGGAGAGGGAUGCGGAAUUCCAGGUGUAGCGGUGAAAUGCGUAGAUAAUCUGGAGGAACACCGGUGGCGAAGGCGGCGAUCCUGGACCAACACUGACGCUGAGUGAGCGAAAGCCAGGGGAG